RNAcentral lists this long non-coding RNA (807 nucleotides) under Homo sapiens (human). RNAcentral's name for it is "PRMT5 antisense RNA 1". Lineage: Eukaryota; Metazoa; Chordata; Mammalia; Primates; Hominidae. The record is from RNAcentral.
CAGGGAGUUCUUGAGGCUGAGUGCGUAGCUUCAAAUCCAGCACUAAUUCCUCACCCCCUGGCCUGAGGUCUUCAUAGAUUGGUGGCUUGAGCCCUGCAAUUAAUUAUAAUCCCUUGCCCACCUUGAUGUAAGGCAGGAAAGCAGAUUGAAAUGCUCCUCUCUGAUGGGCAAGGGGAAUCACAGCCCAUAGAUGUACUGCACCUUCUGUACUACAGGAGCAGAACCUGAAGCUGCUUCCAAGGCUCUGGACACUUGGCACGCAGGGCUAGAGGCCAAUGGUAUAUGAGCGGCCUGUGGGGUUAUGAAUAGCAGAACAGACUGGUGCUGUCACAGCCCACUCAUACCACACCUUCUUGGAAUUGCUGCAUCGCCAGAAACGCACACAGAUGGUUUGGCCUUCACGUACCGUUAUGGGCUGCUGUAAGAAGAAAGACAGGAAGGUUCAGGGUGAAGCUAUGAAUUAUACAUGGCAAUGUAUUAAGGCUCGGACCUCAUUGUACAGCUUGGAGGAAGAGAUGGGAGCCAGAAAGGAAGUGUACUCCCCGGGGAUGCUCACACCAUCAUCUGCACAGCAGGAGAGUCAAAUUAGUUCCAGAGGGAGGGAAAUGGUAUGUCUGUACUAACUGAAGGAUCAGAAGGAUCAAACCUCCCAUGUCAAAACCAACCAACGUUGGCAUGGGCAUGGAAGAAAGAGACAAAUGCAUGUUGUCACAUUACUAAGCCAGCCUGCUUCCAACUACUGUCAUGGAGGAUUCCACUACUAGGUUAAUUUACAGAGUCACACAGAUUAAAACUGAAAGAACCCAA